UUAAAGGAAUUGACGGGGACCCGCACAAGCAGCGGAGCUGUGGUUUAAUUCGUUGCUACACGAAGAACCUUACCUGGGUUUGACAUAUAGGUUGUAGGGAACUGAAAAGGGACCGACCCUUCGGGGAGCCUAUACAGGUGUUGCAUGGCUGUCGUCAGCUCGUGUCGUGAGAUGUUCGGUUAAGUCCGCUAACGAGCGCAACCCUCGUCGUAUGUUAUAUGUGUCAUACGAGACUGCCGGUAAAAAGCCGGAGGAAGGUGAGGAUGAUGUCAAGUCAGCAUGACCUUUAUAUCCAGGGCUACACACACGCUACAAUGGUCUGUACAAUGGGUAGCCAAGCCGCGAGGCGGAGCCAAUCCUGAAAGCAGGCCUCAGUUCAGAUUGGAGUCUGAAACCCGACUCCAUGAAGGUGGAAUCGCUAGUAAUCGCGCAUCAGCAUGGCGCGGUGAAUACGUUCCCGGGCCUU
This 466-nucleotide ribosomal RNA is filed under the name uncultured Anaerolineaceae bacterium. RNAcentral describes it as "bacterial SSU rRNA". It matches the Rfam family "Bacterial small subunit ribosomal RNA", at positions 901 to 1382 of the family's 1533-position model. The record is from RNAcentral. Lineage: Bacteria; Bacillati; Chloroflexota; Anaerolineae; Anaerolineales; Anaerolineaceae.